ACAUUAUGGCUUGUUGACAUGUCCAAAGUUAUUCACAAUAAGCAACCCCUCAUUUCCGUUUAGGGAUUUCGACCAACUACUCUGAUUUGGUAAUUCUGGAGAAUAGCGUUUUGGAGGUUAGUAUGUCGAUUUGGUUGGCUACAUUUACAAAGCCCCACGUUUGAAGUUUUGCCCGAAAAGUGCACACACCUGGUACCGUGGCUCUCGAUCUGCGGGCUUGGUUGGGUCAAUUUGACGCCUGGGGGUUCUGGUCGGUAGUGUGCCAUUGUUGUUACCUUCAUUUUGUGGGAAGUUAUAUGUGAUAUUCUAGUUUUCGAAAUUUGAGGUGUAUGUGUAUGGGGGGGUGUUCAGAGUCAUUGUGUGUCGUGUGUUUGGCGUAAUCGGAUCCCAGAUUUGUUGAUGUAAAUAUGGAAUUGGACAGCUAAUACGUCGUUGAUGCACAUCAAAAAUCCCUCAUAACCCCAUUAACUUUGCAACAAGAAGCGUAUCCCCAAAUUGCAGUGUGAGGGCUGUUAUUAUUGGUGAGGCACAUACGAUUGUUCAACGGUACGUUAGAUGUUAAUGAAGCCGACUUCGAUGAUGACACCGCAAAAGAGUAUGCGAACAUCUAGCACAUGGACAAGAUCAAGGGAGAGGACUCGAUUGUGUGUUAUUGCUAGUUCACCAUCAAAGAACAUUGGGCCAAAGAUUCAAGGUGAAUAACGUUAGCAAAACAUCAAGGGAUUGCUAUUAAGAGGCCAACUUGUGCGCAUGUGUUGGGUGUAGGUACUUGUAUUUCCCUAUGUGCUAUAAAUCGCACUGGACGUUGGUGGUAUACGAUACUGAAGUUGGCACAUGGAAACAUUGAUCUUGAAACAAAGUGUGUUGAACUACAUUCGACAAACUCGCCAAUCAACCAUGAAUGAUGUCAUGGUGUGUACACAGGAUUGUGACGUGGUACUAAAGGCAGUAAAUGAAUCCCCACAGCAGCGACUGGAAUCGUGAAAUUCAUGCAUAAAAACAAUGGAAAGAACUACCAGCAUCAAAGCAUGUGCGACUAUGGUGGAAGAGUUUGUGGAUGAUCCUGUAAAGGAGCUGAAAGAUAUGGGAAGUGAAUAGCAUGGCUAAUGUCCAAGCAUUAUGGUUUUUUUUUUUUUUUCCCUUUUUUUUUGAAUGGUUGCUUUAGUUUUGAUUGGGAAUUAUGAAGUAUGUUAUCGGAAAACAGUUUGACGUUACAUUUGUUUGCUUGGUAAUGUAGAUGUUGGUUUUUUGUGUGCCCGACACAUUGC
This is a non-coding RNA of Camellia sinensis, 1268 nucleotides long. NCBI's taxonomy places the organism in Eukaryota, Viridiplantae, Streptophyta, Magnoliopsida, Ericales, Theaceae. The record is from RefSeq and is a predicted model, not a curated record.